CGUAGGAGGCAAGCGUUGUCCGGAAUUAUUGGGCGUAAAGCGCGCGCAGGCGGUUCCUUAAGUCUGAUGUGAAAGCCCCCGGCUCAACCGGGGAAGGUCAUUGGGAACUGGGGAACUUGAGUGCAGAAGAGAAGAGCGGAAUUCCACGUGUAGCGGUGAAAUGCGUAGAGAUGUGGAGGAACACCAGUGGCGAAGGCGGCUCUUUGGUCUGUAACUGACGCUGAGGCGCGAAAGCGUGGGGAGCAAACAGGAUUAGAUACCCUGGUAGUCCACGCCGUAAACGAUGAGUGCUAAGUGUUAGAGGGUUUCCGCCCUUUAGUGCUGCAGCUAACGCAUUAAGCACUCCGCCUGGGGAGUACGGCCGCAAGGCUG
RNAcentral lists this ribosomal RNA (372 nucleotides) under uncultured organism. Its description in RNAcentral is "bacterial SSU rRNA". It matches the Rfam family "Bacterial small subunit ribosomal RNA", at positions 526 to 896 of the family's 1533-position model. The record is from RNAcentral.